CGUUUUGCGGCAAUCUUCCCAAAGAAAGCAACUUUCGCGCAAUAAGUGCAAUAGUGUGCCGAUGGCUUCGUAGUGACUGCUUAUGUAUAGAGGCGAUCGCGUUUUUGUCGCGCACAUUCCGCACGAACCGCGUGUGCAAGACGAUAUUGAAUGCACUUUUAUUUGAGCUUUGAAAAUUGCAAAGGAAGUUUAGCGGCGUAUGUUUAGCAACCGAGCAAGCCGAAGAAGAAGAAAAAAGUACACCAAAAGAAGCGCCCCCUAUUGCGCGCUACUACUUCUCAGAACAGCACAGCAGAUCUGGCAGAUUGGCGUUGACUCCGCCUAUACUCGGCGCAUGCCGAUACGGCCGAAGUUUGCCGAAGCCUGCCCGGGCCCUGCCCGUCCAUUAGGUAAACAAACAGAAGGCCACGCAGGCCACCGAGGCACAUCGGAGACACAUUGGGCCGCGCCGUUUGCCGAAAUCAAAAAUAUAAUAUACUAAUAAUUUGCAGGAUGCACUUGGUGCUUAGUGGCCAGAUAUCACACGGUGGGCAAGACAUACGGUGGUGAUGUACAUGUUCAAAACCCACGGCAAUCACUAAUGUGACGGGAGAGAGAGAGGGUAUGAAAUAUAGAUGACGGAGAACGACUUGCGAGUACAUACCGUUGGUUGGCAUUUUUCGACACCGAAAUCGAGAUGGAGACGAACGGCCCGGCCCGGAGUCGUCGCUUAUUCUCAGUAAUAAUUUUACACAAAGUGCUGAAGCUAAAGUGUAGAAAAAGGUUAAAUAUUUUCACUUAAGUGUGUUCACACAGGAAUAAAGGCAGAGAAAACCAUCUUUCUGUGGUUCACGUGCGUGUGUGUGUGUGCUAUGAACUGUGUCUAGAAUAAGGGACGUGUAAAAAAAAGAUAAUAAAAUUAUUGCUUUGCUUGUACUAAAGCGUGUUUUGUGAAAUGUUUGUUGUAAUAUUGAUACUUAUUUUGUCUUGUUUUUUUUUUUUAUGUGUUGGUGUUGUUUGUUCUCCCUUGAAGAUGUUCAAUACUCAUACGAACGUUGUCUGCUGCCUCCGUUCAAAGCCUACUAUUGUGUGUGCGCUAGAUAAAAAGUAAAGGCAACCCAGCAGUUGGAGUGAGAAACGCACCCAAUAACAACAACACGAGCAGGAGAGCAGAGUACAAUGCACGACACAGGCAGGAGCGCGUGUGGCUAUCGAAAUAUCUCGUAUCUAUCGGUGUGGCAGCAUCUUGGCGACUUGAGGUGGACGAAGCAAUAGUAGGCUGCGGACGUUGUGAGUGCGCGUGGUUUCCGGGUGUUUGUGCGUGUGUG
Molecule: long non-coding RNA, 1307 nt
Organism: Anopheles gambiae (African malaria mosquito)
Lineage: Eukaryota; Metazoa; Arthropoda; Insecta; Diptera; Culicidae
Exons: 4
Source: RefSeq, a predicted model, not a curated record